RNAcentral lists this unclassified non-coding RNA (424 nucleotides) under soil metagenome. RNAcentral's name for it is "partial contains 5.8S ribosomal RNA, internal transcribed spacer 2, and large subunit ribosomal RNA". The stretch from base 1 to 120 matches the Rfam family "5.8S ribosomal RNA", at positions 35 to 154 of the family's 154-position model. The record is from RNAcentral.
GAUGAAGAACGCAGCGAAAUGCGAUAAGUAGUGUGAAUUGCAGAAUUCCGUGAAUCAUCGAAUCUUUGAACGCACAUUGCGCCUUCUGGUAUUCCGGAAGGCAUGCCUGUUCGAGAGUCAUUAACAACCGUUUCGAUCCCUUUCUUUCAGAAAUUACAAAGAGGAAAAGGGUUUGGUUAUGGUGGAGGAGGGAAAGGGAGCGUUUAGCCUGUAAAAAAAGAGGCUGUGUUCCGCCUCCCCCCCAAAAUUGUACAGGCGGUCGUGUGCGCCCACGCAUCGAGGUGUUGUAAAAGCUGCCACGGCACUUUUCACCUGUGCAGUGCGAGAUUGGCCAGCCGGUUUAAAAACCCCUCCAAACAAUCAAAGGUUGACCUCGGAUCAGGUAGGGAUACCCGCUGAACUUAAGCAUAUCAAUAAGCGGAGA